This 99-nucleotide ribosomal RNA is filed under the name uncultured bacterium. RNAcentral's name for it is "partial 16S ribosomal RNA". It matches the Rfam family "Bacterial small subunit ribosomal RNA", at positions 1386 to 1482 of the family's 1533-position model. The record is from RNAcentral.
CACACCGCCCGUCANACCAUGGGAGUCGUUUGCUCCAGAAGUGCCUACGCUAACUCGCAAGAGAAGCAGGGCCCCAAGGAGUGAACGGUAACUGGGGUG